Molecule: ribosomal RNA, 301 nt
Filed under: uncultured bacterium
Lineage: Bacteria
Description: partial 16S ribosomal RNA
Rfam family: Bacterial small subunit ribosomal RNA
Source: RNAcentral
CAGCAGCCGCGGUAAUACGAAGGGUGCAAGCGUUACUCGGAAUUACUGGGCGUAAAGCGUGCGUAGGCGGCUUCUUAAGUCGGAUGUGAAAUCCCUGAGCUUAACUUAGGAAUUGCAUUCGAUACUGGGAAGCUAGAGUAUGGGAGAGGAUGGUAGAAUUCCAGGUGUAGCGGUGAAAUGCGUAGAGAUCUGGAGGAAUACCGAUGGCGAAGGCAGCCAUCUGGCCUAAUACUGACGCUGAGGUACGAAAGCAUGGGGAGCAAACAGGAUUAGAUACCCCAGUAGUCCCUGUCUCUUAUAC